AGGCGGCGCGCGAGAAAAAAGGCGGUGCGUGAGAAAAAAAGGCGGCGCGCGAGGGAGGGCGGGAAGGGGAAAGAAGCGGAGACUCCUCCUUCUUUCUUUCCCCUUCCCGCCCUCCCUCGCGCGCCGCCCUUCGCGCCGCUUUUUUUCUCGCGCCGCCUU
Molecule: non-coding RNA, 159 nt
Organism: Paramuricea clavata
Lineage: Eukaryota; Metazoa; Cnidaria; Anthozoa; Malacalcyonacea; Plexauridae
Source: the annotation of a GenBank genome assembly